CCAGGCCACUCUGGAAAGCAGGCGCGUCCGCGCCUCACCCACGGUGCAAGCCGCCCCCGGGCGGUGAAGCUCUCAGGUCACAUGACAGAGGGGGAGUU
Molecule: non-coding RNA, 98 nt
Filed under: Actinokineospora spheciospongiae
Lineage: Bacteria; Bacillati; Actinomycetota; Actinomycetes; Pseudonocardiales; Pseudonocardiaceae
Description: Glycine sequence
Rfam family: Glycine riboswitch aptamer
About the family: This family represents the bacterial glycine riboswitch.
Source: Rfam by way of RNAcentral